GACGAACGCUGGCGGCGUGCUUAACACAUGCAAGUCGAGCGACGCUCUUCCUUCGGGGAGAUGACGGAGCGGCGAACGGGUGAGUAACACGUGGGCAACCUGCCCCUAGCUCUGGGACAACACCGGGAAACCGGUGCUAAUACCGGAUACGACAUCGAGCGGCAUCUCUCGAUGUGGAAAGUUUUUUCGGCUAGGGAUGGGCCCGCGGCCUAUCAGCUUGUUGGUGGGGGGAUGGCCCACCAAGGCGACGACGGGUAGCCGGCCUGAGAGGGCGACCGGCCACACUGGGACUGAGACACGGCCCAGACUCCUACGGGAGGCAGCAGUGGGGAAUAUUGCGCAAUGGGCGAAAGCCUGACGCAGCGACGCCGCGUGAGGGAUGACGGCCUUCGGGUUGUAAACCUCUUUCAGCAGGGACGAAUUCAGACGGUACCUGCAGAAGAAGCACCGGCCAACUACGUG
RNAcentral lists this ribosomal RNA (462 nucleotides) under uncultured bacterium. Its description in RNAcentral is "partial 16S ribosomal RNA". It matches the Rfam family "Bacterial small subunit ribosomal RNA", at positions 28 to 507 of the family's 1533-position model. The record is from RNAcentral.